RNAcentral lists this ribosomal RNA (463 nucleotides) under uncultured bacterium. Its description in RNAcentral is "partial 16S ribosomal RNA". It matches the Rfam family "Bacterial small subunit ribosomal RNA", at positions 28 to 507 of the family's 1533-position model. The record is from RNAcentral.
GACGAACGCUGGCGGCGUGCUUAACACAUGCAAGUCGAACGGAAAGGCCUUUUCGGCGGUACUCGAGUGGCGAACGGGUGAGUAACACGUGGGUGAUCUGCCCUGCACUCUGGGAUAAGCCUGGGAAACUGGGUCUAAUACCGGAUAGGACCGCACUUUAGUGUGUGUGGUGGAAAGUUUUUUCGGUGUAGGAUGAGCCCGCGGCCUAUCAGCUUGUUGGUGGGGUAAUGGCCUACCAAGGCGGCGACGGGUAGCCGGACUGAGAGGUUGGUCGGCCACAUUGGGACUGAGAUACGGCCCAGACUCCUACGGGAGGCAGCAGUGGGGAAUAUUGCACAGUGGGCGCAAGCCUGAUGCAGCGACGCCGCGUGGGGGAUGACGGCCUUCGGGUUGUAAACUCCUUUCGCCAGGGACGAAGCGUUUUGUGACGGUACCUGGAGAAGAAGCACCGGCUAACUACGUG